GCGAGGGUAGCCAAGCCAGGCCAAAGGCGGCAGACUCAAGAUCUGUUCCCGAAGGGGUUCCCAGGUUCGAAUCCUGGCCCUCGCA
Molecule: transfer RNA, 85 nt
Filed under: Anaerolineae bacterium
Lineage: Bacteria; Bacillati; Chloroflexota; Anaerolineae
Description: tRNA-Leu
Rfam family: tRNA
About the family: Transfer RNA (tRNA) molecules are approximately 80 nucleotides in length. Their secondary structure includes four short double-helical elements and three loops (D, anti-codon, and T loops).
Source: RNAcentral